This 253-nucleotide ribosomal RNA is filed under the name uncultured bacterium. RNAcentral describes it as "partial 16S ribosomal RNA". It matches the Rfam family "Bacterial small subunit ribosomal RNA", at positions 524 to 776 of the family's 1533-position model. The record is from RNAcentral.
UACGGAGGGGGCAAGCGUUAUUCGGAAUUAUUGGGCGUAAAGGGCGCGUAGGCGGCUCGAUAAGUCAAAGGUGAAAUCCCUCGGCUCAACUGAGGAACUGCCUUUGAAACUGUAGAGCUUGAGUCCGGGAGGGGGUAGCGGAAUUCCCAGUGUAGCGGUGAAAUGCGUAGAUAUUGGGAGGAACACCGGUGGCGAAGGCGGCUACCUGGACCGGUACUGACGCUGAGGCGCGAAAGCUAGGGUAGCAAACAGG